GUGAAUCAUCAAAUUUUUGAACGCAAAUUGCGCUUCCUGGCAUCCCGGGGAGUAUGCCUGUUUGAGGGUCAGUAUUAAUAUAAAAUCGGUUUAUUUACAAAUUUUUGCGUUUUCUGAGUUUUGACUGUCUUAACAUUUUUGGUUAAAAUGCUUAAAAUUGACCUUUUUUGCGCAUUUUGAAACGUACAUAAAUUUUGUUUAUUCGUCUAUUCUUAAUUCCAAAAUCUUAUUAGAUUCGAUCACAUCGUGUGGCUUCAUUUCCAUAAAAUGUUGAUGAUUUUACCUCAGC
Molecule: unclassified non-coding RNA, 289 nt
Filed under: Glomeraceae sp.
Lineage: Eukaryota; Fungi; Glomeromycota; Glomeromycetes; Glomerales; Glomeraceae
Description: partial contains 5.8S ribosomal RNA and internal transcribed spacer 2
Rfam family: 5.8S ribosomal RNA (bases 1-71)
Source: RNAcentral